AAUCAUAUUUGUAUUUGCUUUUAUUUGUUUAUCAAACUUUUUGGGUACUAACUGAAAAUCAUUAUCCUAGGUACUAUGGUAAAACAGAGUUUAGCAAAAAAUGGUGAAAACUUCUGAAACGUUGCAUCAAAGAAACCAGUCUGUCUCAUGUCACUAAACUAACACAAUGAUAAAACACAACAAAAUGCUUAUAACAAGGGACAGACACUCAACACACUCUUUAGGCAUAGACUGAUUUUAAUGGGGAAAAAGUGGAAAGGGGAAAGGAUUUUUUGAGAAUAUGACCUUUAAACUGGCCUUUUUAGAGAUAAGUAAGGAAAGGGAGUUUUGAAGCUGAGAUAAUGCCCCACCUCAAUGUCCAUUCAGCAUCUUACACACAUUUCCUGUGUUCUUUGCUGAGCCUCAAGGAUAUAGCAGAAAAAGACAUAAACCUGGACUCAAGGAGUUUUCUGCCUCAUUUGAGUCAUUCAAAAAGACAUUAAAUUAAUACAAAGUAGCUGGACAUGAAAGAGAAUCCUGUGUUAGCUGAUUCCACUCUAGGCAAAUGGCCUGUCCAAAUUUAAUUCUCUAUUGAUGGUACUUCUUGGAUUAGAUUUGUAUUGUUUUCAGUAACAGCAAAGGUGGAAGUCUGCAAAGCGUAGCCUUUCUUAUCUACUAUCUUCCCUACCUAUAAUCUUUCCACUUUAUGCCCAGGUCACCCCUCUCUAGAAUGAAUUUUCUAGUCCUUCUUUAGUCAAGUUUUGACAGUUUAAUCCAUUGGAAACACUGUGUUCCUGGAAGCCCCAGACCAGGCUCCUGUUGCAUUGGCAAUUUGGUGUAGUGUUCCUGAAUAGCAGAUCCAGAUUAUGUGGUUGACAGUGUGAUCCCUUGGGGAUACCCUGUGUCUUAAUGCUCUGUGACAUCAGAGGACUCACCUCACCUCUCUGAACUUCAGUGUCCCUACCUGUAAAGUGAAGAUAACUUGGGGGGGGGGUGUAAUUUGUAGAAGAAAAGUAGCUGCUCUAAAAAUUAGAAAAAUCUCAACUCUAACCCUGGCUGUAUCCCUAUUUUUUAUUGGGAAAAAUCACAUUAUGCUGUGUAAUGCCUAAGUUUUCCAUUUAAGGGAAAAUACAUGAAGAUUAAAUUUAAAACAGAUCAACAAUGUAACCAAAUAAGCCAUAUUGGUGAAGAGACAAGGGUAGAAGGAGGCCAAAUGAUUGCUUGACUGAACAACUGAUUAUUUGAUUCGGUUGACCAGAGUAAUCAGAACCAUCUCUCUAGUAGCCAAGGGUGUGUACAAUCAAAACAAUUUUAGAAAAGGGACCUCAAGAACAUCUGCUCAUUUGGACUGAUGUAGACAAAUUACGGUUGACUAAAUGCUUUGAUAUCUUUUAAUCCUAGUUGAAGCUUUUAGGGGGAAAAAAAACAGUAUAGUGAAAUUCAUGGGCUUUAUUAAGCCUUGGAGAGUAGACAAAAUUGUGUCCCUACAUAUUUAUUUAAAACUUCUGAUGUCCAUUCAUAAUCCAAAUACAAACUCAGUCAUUUGUAUUUCUUAUUUUUCUUUAUAUGAGAGCAAAAGGAGCAUGUUAAUAAUAAAAAAAAAUAAUGAAGAAGAAACAAAAAGAAAGAAGGCGCCCUCUCUUCUUUCCUUUCUGUUCCACUUAACAUGCCUUGUUUUAUUCUCAUUACCUCGUUCCUCUCUCCCCCUUCUUCCCCAGACUAACUUUUGGGUUUUCAUUUCCUGGAAAAGAAUUCAUCUCUUUUUUCUUAUUGGUCACUUUGUAAUUUCCCACAAAGAUACUCUGAUGUCUCAGCUUGAGUUACGUCCUCACCCUUGGUGCAAUCAUCAGUGACCUCUGACUAGUUCCAAGUUGCUGGGACUCUUAACCUAUGAAUGGAGAAGAGAAGCAAGGUUGAGCAGACAGUCUAAGCUGCAUCUGCUAAAAGUAUUUGACUCUGUUUACAGAGCAAUUCAUUGUUGAAUGAGGAUUUGAGCUCAGGUCUCUCUGGUUCUAAGUCCAAGGUGCCUUUACCACACGAUGAUGCCACCCUGCUUUUGAAUUUAAAGAAAGAGUAUACAAGUUUCUCCAUACAUCAUGGGCAUCUAAACUUUUUCCAUUAGAGAGACUCAAGCUAAAUGAAUCCUAGAUAGGCAUUUACAUCAAUCACAAUUGUUGGGUUUCCAUUUCAUAAUUACCAUGCAGGCAAGCAUAAUAAUAACAAUAAUGAUAAUAGCAAUAACCACAUUUAUACAACUUUUACUAGGUGUCAGGCAUUCUCCUGAAUUCUUCACAUGUACAAACUGGAUAAACCCUCCUAAUAACUCUACUAUGUCAGUAUUAUCACAUGAUCUCCAUUUUACAGAUAAAACUGAGGUGAGGAGAGUGGAAGGUAUCAGGCAUUUCACUUCACUUAAUCUUUUAUUGGAAAAAUUUUAAGGAACACAAUACAUUAAUUGUGAACAACAUAAGAUAUGAUGAUACAAAUUUUAAGGAACAGGAAAGCUUUAACAAUUACAUAAAAUUCUGUGCUUAUAGUUCAUCAUGUGCUUUAUUAUUAAAAAAAAAAAAAGCCCAAACAAUAUCAGAAAGAACAGAAGCCUAUCCCACCCCUAUUCUUUGAUUAAAAACUCUGAAAAUUGAGGUCAUUGCCCCCACAUUUGUGGAGACAGCUCCCAAGUCAUCAGUACUGGCCUCUGAAGAUUUUAGAAGAGGGAAGACAUGGGGUAUUUGACUAUUAUAUCAAAUUUCCUAGGGCCACCAUAACAAAUUACCACAAAUUAUGUUUCUUUCAACAAUGAAAUGUAUUCCCUCAGAAUUCUGGAGCCUGGAAAUUGGAAAUAGAGGUGUCAGCAGGCCCACACUCCCUCUGGAGGUCCUAAGGGAGAAUUUUGAUUGCCUCUUCCAGCUUCUGGUGUCUCCAAGCAAUUCUUGGCUUGUGUUGUGUAUAUUUCCCCUACUGUCCUUGGAGGUAGUAUCCACUGAGGUAUUUUUGAAUGCCCUUACCUCACAAUAUUUCAUUUAAUUAGACCUUCAAAGACUUUUUUCCCAAAUAAGAUCACAUUUACAGGUUUGCAGGCUAGGACAUGGACAUACGUUAAGAUGAAUAGACACCAUGCAACCAGCCGUCAAUAAUUAUGGAAGUCCUUUCCAAUUUUUCUAAGAAUUUAGUUGUGUGCAAACACAAUUCUGAAUAAUUUCCUUAUAAUGGAGGUAAUUCUCCAGAGCUUUACAAUGAAUGCCCUGGGGCCAGUAUCAAAUAAAGGAACCUCAUCUAGGAAGAUAAAUGAUUUUGAGUAACAGAGAGGCUUGUUUUGACUCACUAGGGCAAGAAUAAAAUAGACAUGUAAACUUCCACUCUCCCUCUCUAAAAUAAAAUACUAACUUUCUUAACUACAAUUUUGAAUUGGCAAAACAUGCAUUCAGACUUAAUUAAGAUCAUAGGUUUUAGUUUUCACUCUUUGACAGGCUUUAGAAAGCCAUUCAGAUGUGCUAACUUGGCAAAGAGAAAUAAAACCAAGGGGAAAGAGUCAAACUAUUUUAAAAAUGAAAAGGCAAAAUCAGUUUUAAGGAAAAAAAUAGAUUUAUGUAUGAUUUUCCAUGUUGGAACAUGCAUUCUAACUUAUCUACACUUUCCAGCUCAUAUACUUUUGAGUAUCCAGAAUCUUAAAAUCUCAAGAAAUUAUCACUUUAAAACUGAAAGUAGUUUUGAGUCCUUGUAAAAAGAUGAGAUUAUGGUGGUAGGGAUAUAAUAACGUCUUUGAGACGUGACCUGAACAUUGAUCUCUAUAUCUGUUGCUGUUUGUGUUCUCUCCAAAUUCAUAUUUUGAAACCCUAACCUCCAAUGUAAUGGUAUUAAGGAGUGGGACCUGGAGUUCCCAUUUGUGGCUCAAAAGGUUAAGAACCUGACAAAGCCUCUGUGAAGACAGAGAUUCAAUGCUGGGCCUCACUCAGGGGGUUAAGGACCCGGCAUUGCCGCAAGCUGCAGCAUAGGUCACAGAUGGGACUCAUAUCCAGUGUGGCUGUGGCUGUGGCAUAGGCCUGCAGCUGCAGCUCCUAUUCAAUCCCUAGCCUAGAUCUUCCAUAUGCCGCAGGUGUGGCUGUAAAAAGGAAAAUAAAAUAGAAAAAAAAAAUGGGACCUUGGGGAGCUGAUUAGGUCAAGAUGGUGCAGCUCUCAUUAAUGGAAUUAGUAACCUUAUUAAAGAGACCCCAGAAUGAUCCCUUCCCUCUUCUACCAUGUGAGGACACAGAAAAGAUGGGGAAGAGGGCCCCCACCUUACAGCAAAUGUGCCAGGACCUUGAUCUCGGAUCUUUGCAGGCUCCAGAAAUGUGAAAAGUAAAUUUCUCUUGUUGGUCUAUGGUAAUUUGUUAUACAGCCUGAAUGGACUAAGACAUCAGUGAAUCUCAAGUUGGAAUGAUUACAGGAUGGUGAGAGCUUGGCAAAUUCUAGGGCAUUCUGUUCCUUGUCCUAGGGAAACAGCAUUUCCCAAGGAAUGGUCUAUGAGACAGCUCUGUAAUAUUCAGUUUCUUAAUUCUAACACAUACCCACACCCCCAUUUUCACGUCUCUGAAAACAGACUGCACGCGACACAACGUCAAAGGAUAUCAUUAGCGACAGGACCUUGCACGAGCAAUCUUAGCUGUGCGUGGAUGAAGCCUUGUGCCUGAUGAUCCUUUCAGUCAGGCUCUCUGCAUUUGUUGUAUCUCGUGUAGUUAAACUUAACCUGGGCCCUCAACUGUUGCGCAUAAAAGAUUACACUUCAAUGUUGCAUUGAAAUGAACAUUUUUUAGAAGGCGGAAGAUUGACAGUGAAAUGACAAGUAAUCCAAUUUCAGGUGGUAGACGUUGCCAAAUUCCUCAAAGUAGAUCAUAAAAUGUUGAAAGCUAGGAGAAAUUGAUGUGAUUUAUUUAGUCAUUGAACUGUUUUAUCUGUCAAAGUCUUCCAGCUGAAUUUCAAGAGAAGCCGAUUCACUUCUAGAGAUACAUACUUAUAUCAAGUAUGUAAUAGGAAAAGCAGAUGAAACCCUAAGAGCCUUUCAUAUAAUAGAGAAUUAUAACGUCACUCCUAAAGAUGUUAAAGAUGUCAAUAUUAUGAGCAUAAUUUAUGAAAAACAACAUCUCAGUUGGAUGUUCAGUACCGUAGGAUGAUGGAAAUCUUCCUUGUAGGAUUUCCAGAAGUCUAUUAGCUUAUUAAAAGCUCCUCAAUCUUGUAAUAAAGCAAUAUACUUAGCUUUGUUUUUACCAUCAUUUCAAAAUGUGUGAAUUUAGAACUGUCCCCAACAUACACACACACGCACGCACGCACGCACGCACGCACACCAACUACUAGCAUUUACCAGUGCUGCCUCCGGUGAACAUAACUUAUUAAGGUGUGUUAACCUGGAGAAAGAUAAUUAUGGUCAUUUACCUGAUGUUCAUUUUUGUAAAUGAUAAAGUCACGGAUACAAUUGAAAGAAUAAAAGAUUGUCGUUCAGAAGACACUUCUGCUAUUUUUUCAUUAAUUUGCUGUAUGAUCAUGAGCGGAACCCCCCUCUUUCUCCAGACUGGUUUCCCCAUCUUGUCAAUAAAUGUACAUUGGUUGUACAAAAUAAUCCACAAUUCUCUUUGCUUCCCUACCCUUCAGUGCCUGCAAUGAGGUCCAUUAGCUGGGGAUAGAAUACCAUCUUCUGUGGUUAACAUAUUCUUGUAAAUCUUUUUGUGAAACAUAAAACCGCAGUUUAUUCUGUGGUUUUCAAGAAGAACAUGUGAGGGGUUCCCAUCAUGGCUCAGUGGUUAACAAACCCCAAUGGCAUCCCUGACCUCACUCAGUGGGUUAAGGAUCCACCACUGCUGUAAGCCGUGGUGUAGGUCACAGAUGCAGAUUGGAUCUGGUACUGCCAUGGCUGUGGUGUAGGCUGGCAGCUACAGCUCAUAUUUGACCCCUAGCCUGGGAACCUCCAUAUGCCACAGGUGCAGC
Molecule: long non-coding RNA, 5934 nt
Filed under: Sus scrofa (pig)
Lineage: Eukaryota; Metazoa; Chordata; Mammalia; Artiodactyla; Suidae
Description: lncRNA (ENSSSCG00000062052.1)
Source: RNAcentral